GACUCCGUAGCUCAGUUGGUUAGAGCGCAGCACUGUUACCCUUUCGAGCAUUCUGGCGGGCUGGCCAACUCUCUGCGUUUGCGAGGCGACCAGUCCAUCCCUUUGCCCUGCUUUCUCUUUCUCACUUCACUUGUCAAGGAGAUGCUGAGGUCGGCGGUUCGAGCCCGCCCGGGGUCG
Sporisorium reilianum SRZ2 is the source of this 177-nucleotide non-coding RNA. Lineage: Eukaryota; Fungi; Basidiomycota; Ustilaginomycetes; Ustilaginales; Ustilaginaceae. The record is from Rfam.